Molecule: ribosomal RNA, 293 nt
Filed under: uncultured bacterium
Lineage: Bacteria
Description: partial 16S ribosomal RNA
Rfam family: Archaeal small subunit ribosomal RNA
Source: RNAcentral
GUGUCAGCAGCCGCGGUAACACCGGCAGCUCAAGUGGUGGCCAUUAUUAUUGGGCCUAAAGCGUUCGUAGCCGGUUUGAUAAGUCUCUGGUGAAAUCCCGCAGCUUAACUGUGGGACUUGCUGGAGAUACUAUUAGACUUGAGGUCGGGAGAGGUUAGGGGUACUCCCAGGGUAGGGGUGAAAUCCUAUAAUCCUGGGAGGACCACCUGUGGCGAAGGCGCCUAACUGGAACGAACCUGACGGUGAGUAACGAAAGCCAGGGGCGCGAACCGGAUUAGAAACCCCCGUAGUCC